UACGAAGGGGGCUAGCGUUGCUCGGAAUCACUGGGCGUAAAGCGCACGUAGGCGGCUUUCUAAGUCAGGGGGGAAAUCCUGGAGCUCAACUCCAGAACUGCCUUUGAUACUGGGAAGCUCGAGUCCGGAAGAGGUGAGUGGAACUCCGAGUGUAGAGGUGAAAUUCGUAGAUAUUCGGAAGAACACCAGUGGCGAAGGCGGCUCACUGGACCGGUAUUGACGCUGAGGUGCGAAAGCGUGGGGAGCAAACAGG
This 253-nucleotide ribosomal RNA is filed under the name uncultured bacterium. RNAcentral describes it as "partial 16S ribosomal RNA". It matches the Rfam family "Bacterial small subunit ribosomal RNA", at positions 524 to 776 of the family's 1533-position model. The record is from RNAcentral.